GGCCGCGGGAAUUCGAUUCAGGCCUAACACAUGCAAGUCGUACGAGAGUUUUUAACUCAAGUGGCGGACGGGUGAGUAACACGUAAGAAUUUGCCUCUAGGAGGGGGACAACAACUAGAAAUGGUUGCUAAUACCCCAUAUGCUUUCGAGUGAAAUGGAUUUUUCCGCCUAGAGAGAAGCUUGCGGCUGAUUAGCUUGUUGGUGAGGUAAUGGCUCACCAAGGCGACGAUCAGUAUCUGGUUUGAGAGGACGAUCAGACACACUGGAACUGAGACACGGUCCAGACUCCUACGGGAGGCAGCAGUGGGGAAUUUUCCGCAAUGGGCGAAAGCCUGACGGAGCAAUACUGCGUGAGGGAUGACGGCCUAUGGGUUGUAAACCUCUUUUAUCAGGGAGGAAUCAAUGAC
RNAcentral lists this ribosomal RNA (407 nucleotides) under uncultured bacterium. Its description in RNAcentral is "bacterial SSU rRNA". It matches the Rfam family "Bacterial small subunit ribosomal RNA", at positions 39 to 457 of the family's 1533-position model. The record is from RNAcentral.